RNAcentral lists this transfer RNA (73 nucleotides) under Marmota monax (woodchuck). RNAcentral's name for it is "tRNA.Ala". The record is from RNAcentral. Lineage: Eukaryota; Metazoa; Chordata; Mammalia; Rodentia; Sciuridae.
GGAUGUGGCUCAAGUGGUACAGUGCUCGCCUGGCAUGUGUGCGGCCCGGGUUCGAUUCUCAGAACCACAUACA